CAUACGCUCGUCUCAAAGAUUAAGCCAUGCAUGUGUAAGUAUAAAUAGUUAACUUUGAAACUGCGAAUGGCUCAUUAUAUCAGUUAUAGUUUAUUUGAUGAAGAAUACUAAUUGGAUAACCGUAGUAAUUCUAGAGCUAAUACAUGUAUAAAGUCUUGUAGACUGCAUUUAUUAGAAUGAAAACCAUAGGUUUCGGCCUAUUCGUGAGUAAUAAUAACUAAUCAUAUCGUAUGCUUAAGUAACGAUGUGUCUUUCAAGUUUCUGCCCUAUCAGCUUUCGAUGGUAGUGUAUUGGACUACCAUGGCAGUAACGGGUAACGAAGAAUUUGGGU
RNAcentral lists this ribosomal RNA (331 nucleotides) under Blastocystis hominis. RNAcentral's name for it is "SSU rRNA". It matches the Rfam family "Eukaryotic small subunit ribosomal RNA", at positions 25 to 376 of the family's 1831-position model. Lineage: Eukaryota; Bigyra; Opalinata; Blastocystidae. The record is from RNAcentral.